GAUGAAGAACGUAGCGAAAUGCGAUAAGUAAUGUGAAUUGCAGAAUUCAGUGAAUCAUCGAAUCUUUGAACGCACAUCGCGCCCCCUGGUAUUCCGGGGGGCAUGCCUGUUCGAGCGUCAUUUCACCACUCAAGCCUCGCUUGGUAUUGGGCAACGCGGUCCGCCGCGUGCCUCAAAUCGUCCGGCUGGGUCUUCUGUCCCCUAAGCGUUGUGGAAACUAUUCGCUAAAGGGUGUUCGGGAGGCUACGCCGUAAAACAACCCCAUUUCUAAGGUUGACCUCGGAUCAGGUAGGGAUACCCGCUGAACUUAAGCAUAUCAAUAAGCGGAGGA
This 331-nucleotide unclassified non-coding RNA is filed under the name soil metagenome. RNAcentral describes it as "partial contains 5.8S ribosomal RNA, internal transcribed spacer 2, and large subunit ribosomal RNA". The stretch from base 1 to 120 matches the Rfam family "5.8S ribosomal RNA", at positions 35 to 154 of the family's 154-position model. The record is from RNAcentral.